RNAcentral lists this ribosomal RNA (460 nucleotides) under uncultured bacterium. RNAcentral describes it as "partial 16S ribosomal RNA". It matches the Rfam family "Bacterial small subunit ribosomal RNA", at positions 338 to 795 of the family's 1533-position model. The record is from RNAcentral.
CCUACGGGAGGCAGCAGUGAGGAAUAUUGGUCAAUGGACGAGAGUCUGAACCAGCCAAGUAGCGUGAAGGAUGACUGCCCUAUGGGUUGUAAACUUCUUUUAUAUGGGAAUAAAAUGUUCCCCGUGUGGGAUUUUGUAUGUACCAUAUGAAUAAGGAUCGGCUAACUCCGUGCCAGCAGCCGCGGUAAUACGGAGGAUCCGAGGGUUAUCCGGAUUUAUUGGGUUUAAAGGGAGCGUAGGUGGAUUGUUAAGUCAGUUGUGAAAGUUUGCGGCUCAACCGUAAAAUUGCAGUUGAAACUGGCAGUCUUGAGUACAGUAGAGGUGGGCGGAAUUCGUGGUGUAGCGGUGAAAUGCUUAGAUAUCACGAAGAACUCCGAUUGCGAAGGCAGUUCACUGGACUGCAACUGACACUGAGGCUCGAAAGUGUGGGUAUCAAACAGGAUUAGAUACCCCUGUAGUC